UUAGUUGCCAGCAUUAAGUUGGGCACUCUAAGGAGACUGCCGGUGACAAACCGGAGGAAGGUUGGGACGACGUCAAGUCAUCAUGCCCUUACGUGUAGGGCUACACACGUGCUACAAUGGCAUUUACAGAGGGAAGCGAGACAGUGAUGUGGAGCGGACCCCUUAAAGAAUGUCGUAGUCCGGAUUGGAGUCUGCAACUCGACUCCAUGAAGUCGGAAUCGCUAGUAAUCGCAGGUCAGAAUACUGCGGUGAAUACGUUCCCGGGCCUUGUACACACCGCCCGUCACACCAUGGGAGUGGGAUGCAAAAGAAGUAGUUAGUCUAACCUUCGGGAGGACGAUUACCACUUUGUGUUUCAUGACUGGGGUGAAGUCGUAACAAGGUAACCGUA
This 391-nucleotide ribosomal RNA is filed under the name uncultured Alteromonas sp. RNAcentral describes it as "bacterial SSU rRNA". It matches the Rfam family "Bacterial small subunit ribosomal RNA", at positions 1111 to 1504 of the family's 1533-position model. Lineage: Bacteria; Pseudomonadati; Pseudomonadota; Gammaproteobacteria; Alteromonadales; Alteromonadaceae. The record is from RNAcentral.